Small nucleolar RNA from Dendrobium catenatum, 86 nucleotides. The record is from RefSeq and is a predicted model, not a curated record. Lineage: Eukaryota; Viridiplantae; Streptophyta; Magnoliopsida; Asparagales; Orchidaceae.
GGGGGAUAUGAUGAUUUCAAAUCCAUAGUUUUUUUUCUGCAUAUUAAUGAUGAUCAAACAAAACAUGCACUACCAUCUGAUCCCUC